Molecule: transfer RNA, 64 nt
Filed under: Coelioxys fenestratus
Lineage: Eukaryota; Metazoa; Arthropoda; Insecta; Hymenoptera; Megachilidae
Description: Coelioxys fenestrata tRNA-Cys
Source: RNAcentral
AAUUUUUUAGUUUAAUAAAAAUAUUAAAUUGCAAAUUUAAAGAUUUAUUUAUUUAAAAAAAUUU